GAUGAAGAACGUAGCGAAAUGCGAUAAGUAAUGUGAAUUGCAGAAUUCAGUGAAUCAUCGAAUCUCUGAACGCACAUUGCGCCCGCCAGUAUUCUGGCGGGCAUGCCUGUUCGAGCGUCAUUUCAACCAUCAAGCCCCAGGCUUGUGUUGGGGACCUGCGGCUGCCGCAGGCCCUGAAAACCAGUGGCGGGCUCGCUGUCACACCGGGCGUAGUAGAUUUUAUCUCGCUCAGGGCGUGCUGCGGGUUCCGGCCGUUAAAAAGCCUUUUUUACCCAAGGUUGACCUCGGAUCAGGUAGGAAGACCCGCUGAACUUAAGCAUAUCAAUAAGCGGAGGA
This 336-nucleotide unclassified non-coding RNA is filed under the name soil metagenome. Its description in RNAcentral is "partial contains 5.8S ribosomal RNA, internal transcribed spacer 2, and large subunit ribosomal RNA". The stretch from base 1 to 120 matches the Rfam family "5.8S ribosomal RNA", at positions 35 to 154 of the family's 154-position model. The record is from RNAcentral.